This 73-nucleotide transfer RNA is filed under the name Coemansia sp. RSA 1646. RNAcentral describes it as "tRNA-Val". It matches the Rfam family "tRNA". Rfam says of the family: Transfer RNA (tRNA) molecules are approximately 80 nucleotides in length. Their secondary structure includes four short double-helical elements and three loops (D, anti-codon, and T loops). RNAcentral also lists the same sequence under 5 other names. The record is from RNAcentral. Lineage: Eukaryota; Fungi; Kickxellomycota; Kickxellomycetes; Kickxellales; Kickxellaceae.
GGUUCUGUUGUAUAGUGGUUAUUACGUUGCCUUUACACGGCAAAGGUCGCGAGUUCGAUCCUCGCCGGAAUCA